This is a non-coding RNA of Caenorhabditis remanei, 82 nucleotides long. The record is from Rfam. NCBI's taxonomy places the organism in Eukaryota, Metazoa, Nematoda, Chromadorea, Rhabditida, Rhabditidae.
GGCCCCGUGGUGUAGUGGUAGCACGUCGGGCUAGGAAUCAUUCCCCUAGCUGGAAGCGUUGGUUCGAAUCCUUCCGGGUCCA